Formica exsecta is the source of this 738-nucleotide long non-coding RNA. RefSeq lists it as uncharacterized. The transcript has 3 exons. The record is from RefSeq and is a predicted model, not a curated record. Lineage: Eukaryota; Metazoa; Arthropoda; Insecta; Hymenoptera; Formicidae.
CGUACGUAUGCUCGCACGCACACACGCAAAGCGAGUUUGUCCCUCAAGGCGCGUUUGCAGCGCUCAUGUACGAUUAUUCGCUUGAGUGUGCAAAUACGCCUUGAGAGACAAUGUGUAUGUGCGUGCAUACGUAUAUGAUACGUAUCAAGCGGUGCGCGGUAGCAUCGCGACGUCAAGAUAUAAUAACGUUAUAAGGUUAAUGUUCGCGACGUCAAGAUAUAACAUUAUAAGGUUAAUGUUAUAUUUGAAUCUGCUGCAGAAAAUAUAUUUGGUCCUAUCGAGAUAAAGCAAAAUCAAUCAAUCCUUUCAAGAAGGCUGGUAUACUUUUAGCUGGGAUUUCUUCAGCUGGGGUUGCAUACGGUCUUAUACCGCAGAACUUUGCUAAACAGCGUAACAUAUUGGGUUAUAGAGAUUUGGCAGUAACAGACAAUAGAGGAGAGGGACCAUAAAGCACUUAACUUCGGAUGGACAUAAAAACGAUUAAUAACUGUCGAAGUAAAAGAAAUAUUUACUAUUUAUAAUGGGGUAAAGGGAAUCCUUGCUCUUAUGUUAAGUGAUUGAACUGAAAUUGAAUUCAAUGUGUUGAAUCACGUGUAAUAUUAUAAUAGCAUAUUGCAAUGCGAGAUAUAUAUUCAUAAGUUUUAUGAACAUUAUCAGAGAGAAAUCACUGACAUUAUUAUAUUUUUGAUUAUAUAGUUGUGAAGUAAAACUUGUAAAUUCCUACGAUUUUAUCAAAAA